GCGACGUACCGGAAGAGGAGGAGCCCUUUCGCCAGCUUUUCAUUUUAUUUCUAAAACAAUGGCGGACAGCACAAGCGGUAGACCACGAAGCUACGGACCGUAAAUAGACGUUUCCUGGAGGUGCUGGUGCUGGUCCUCUGCUGCCCUCCCGACAUCUGCAUCUGGCUCCAAUGACCUCUGGCACCUCACAUCCACCUCCAGGGCCUUUAAGAAGAUGGACCGCCAUCGCGUCUUCAGUAUCCCGAAGGACCUCUCCACAACACAACACCCCUCGCCUUUGACAGGCAGCAGUUGUAGCUUGCUUGGAGGUGGACAGGCUGCCUGAAGGGGGUCAUGAGGCAGAUGGGUUGGGACAGGCAGGGGGAGCCACCAUCCCCAAGGAUACAGUAUCCUGGUGGAGGGGAUGACUGCUCAUAGAAGAUGGGGCUGUUAUUCAGGACCCUGGCAUCAUGCACUGAGCCCGGGGCCUGUCGAAGGCCCUGGCCACCACCCGAUAGGAGGUGGCGCUGGCAAGCCAAAAAAUAAAAACUAGACAGGAGAUCUCGGGGCCCCAACCGUGGUCACAGUCAGUGCCCAGCACAGCCAUGAGGGCGUUGAAUGACUCGGUGAGCCUGAAGUCCACCCUCAUGUCACUGUGGCCAUCACAAUACAACGCCAGCAGUGGCAUUGCAACAUUGAUACGGCAGCGCCGCUGGGACUGGGUGGCUGCUGUACAGUGUGUGGGGAGGGGAAGGGAAGAUUAUAUUAAUAUGCAAGUCAUUUUAUCAAUAAAAUGUUGUCAUUGA
Pseudoliparis swirei is the source of this 785-nucleotide long non-coding RNA. RefSeq lists it as uncharacterized. The record is from RefSeq and is a predicted model, not a curated record. The transcript has 2 exons. NCBI's taxonomy places the organism in Eukaryota, Metazoa, Chordata, Actinopteri, Perciformes, Liparidae.